This is a small nucleolar RNA of Magnolia sinica, 107 nucleotides long. NCBI's taxonomy places the organism in Eukaryota, Viridiplantae, Streptophyta, Magnoliopsida, Magnoliales, Magnoliaceae. The record is from RefSeq and is a predicted model, not a curated record.
UAGCCAUGAUGUGGGCAAGUAUUUAGAAGAUCCUUGAAUCUUUCCCAACAUUGGAAGAAUGUUUCUUCCUCUUUCUGUGAAAAAUUCAUUAUUGCCCUCCUAAGGGU